GAUGAACGCUGGCGGCGUGCCUAAUACAUGCAAGUCGAGCGAACAGACGAGGAGCUUACUCCUCUGACGUUAGCGGCGGACGGGUGAGUAACACGUGGAUAACCUACCUAUAAGACUGGGAUAACUUCGGGAAACCGGAGCUAAUACCGGAUAACAUGUUGAACCGCAUGGUUCAACAGUGAAAGACGGUCUUGCUGUCACUUAUAGAUGGAUCCGCGUCGCAUUAGCUAGUUGGUAAGGUAACGGCUUACCAAGGCAACGAUGCGUAGCCGACCUGAGAGGGUGAUCGGCCACACUGGAACUGAGACACGGUCCAGACUCCUACGGGAGGCAGCAGUAGGGAAUCUUACGCAAUGGGCGAAAGCCUGACGGAGCAACGCCGCGUGAGUGACGAAGGUCUUCGGAUCGUAAAACUCUGUUAUUAGGGAAGAACAAAUGUGUAAGUAACUAUGCACGUCUUGACGGUACCUAAUCAGAAAGCCACGGCUAACUACGUG
This 497-nucleotide ribosomal RNA is filed under the name uncultured bacterium. RNAcentral describes it as "partial 16S ribosomal RNA". It matches the Rfam family "Bacterial small subunit ribosomal RNA", at positions 28 to 507 of the family's 1533-position model. The record is from RNAcentral.